UGCAAGCACGCUGAUAGACUGUCCAUGGAUAAUGGAGAACCCACUCUUUUGAGUAGGUGUGGCUUAUCCACUUCAGGCUCAAGUGGAGUACAGAUGAAAUGUGAGCCCUGGGUGACAUGAAGAUUGCUGUACACUGAAUUCAUGUGGGGUGGAUCGAAUUGGGACAUCGGUGCAAAUGAGUGGUUUAUGGUAAGUUAAACAUUUAAGAGCACAUGGAGCAACUGGAAGUGACACGUAUACCGCCCUGGUUUUUUUUCCUUCCCUUUUGACUCUCUGAUCCAGAAGUUGCCAGCUUCUGCAGAAAUUUUUUUUUUUUUUUUUUGGUAUACUAUUGCAAUAAAAGAUGAUGCUGGUCUACA
RNAcentral lists this long non-coding RNA (359 nucleotides) under Scleropages formosus (Asian bonytongue). RNAcentral describes it as "lncRNA (ENSSFOG00015030942.1)". The record is from RNAcentral. Lineage: Eukaryota; Metazoa; Chordata; Actinopteri; Osteoglossiformes; Osteoglossidae.